This 464-nucleotide ribosomal RNA is filed under the name uncultured bacterium. Its description in RNAcentral is "partial 16S ribosomal RNA". It matches the Rfam family "Bacterial small subunit ribosomal RNA", at positions 339 to 795 of the family's 1533-position model. The record is from RNAcentral.
CUACGGGAUGCUGCAGUGGGGAAUAUUGGACAAUGGGCGCAAGCCUGAUCCAGCAAUGCCGCGUGUGUGAAGAAGGCCCGAGGGUUGUAAAGCACUUUCAAUUGUGAAGAAAGGUUGGUGGUUAAUACCCACUAACUGUGACGUUAACUUUAGAAGAAGCACCGGCUAACUCCGUGCCAGCAGCCGCGGUAAUACGGAGGGUGCGAGCGUUAAUCGGAAUUACUGGGCGUAAAGCGUGCGUAGGCGGAUGAUUAAGUCAGAUGUGAAAGCCCCGGGCUCAACCUGGGAACUGCAUUUGAUACUGGGCAUCUAGAAUGUAGUAGAGGGGGGUAGAAUUCCUAGUGUAGCGGUGAAAUGCGUAGAUAUUAGGAGGAAUACCAGUGGCGAAGGCGGCCCCCUGGACAAACAUUGACGCUGAGGUACGAAAGCGUGGGGAGCAAACAGGAUUAGAUACCCGCGUAGUC